UUAUACAGCGAAACUGCGAAUGGCUCAUUAUAUAAGUUAUCGUUUAUUUGAUAGUACCUUACUACUUGGAUAACCGUGGUAAUUCUAGAGCUAAUACAUGCUAAAAAUCCCGACUUACGAAGGGAUGUAUUUAUUAGAUUAAAAACCAAUGCCCUUCGGGGCUCACUGGUGAUUCAUAAUAACUUCUCGAAUCGCAUGGCCUUGCGCCGGCGAUGGUUCAUUCAAAUUUCUUCCCUAUCAACUUUCGAUGCUAGAGUAGUGUUCUAGCAUGGUUACAACGGGUAACGGAGGGUUAGGGCUCGACCCCGGAGAAGGAGCCUGAGAAACGGCUACUACAUCCAAGGAAGGCAGCAGGCGCGCAAAUUACCCAAUCCCGACACGGGGAGGUAGUGACGAUAAAUACUGAUACAGGGCUCUUUUGGGUCUUGUAAUUGGAAUGAGUACAAUUUAAAUCCCUUAACGAGGAACAAUUGGAGGGCAAGUCUGGUGCCAGCAGCCGCGGUAAUUCCAGCUCCAAUAGCGUAUAUUAAAGUUGUUGUGGUUAAAAAGCUCGUAGUAGAACCUUGGGCCUGGCUGGCCGGUCCGCCUCACCGCGUGCACUGGUCCGGCCGGGCCUUUCCCCCUGUGGAACCUCAUGCCCUUCACUGGGUGUGUGGGAAAACAGGACUUUUACUUUGAAAAAAUUAGAGUGCUCCAGGCAGGCCUAUGCUCGAAUACAUUAGCAUGGAAUAAUAGAAUAGGACGUGUGGUUCUAUUUUUGUUGGUUUCUAGGACCGCCGUAAUGAUUAAUAGGGACAGUCGGGGGCAUCAGUAUUCAAUUGUCAGAGGUGAAAUUCUUGGAUUUAUUGAAGACUAACUACUGCGAAAGCAUUUGCCAAGGAUGUUUUCAUUUAUCAGGAACGAAAGUUAGGGGAUCGAAGACGAUCAGAUACCGUCGUAGUCUUAACCAUAAACUAUGCCGACUAGGGAUCGGACGAUGUUAUUUUUUGACUCGUUCGGCACCUUACGAGAAAUCAAAGUGC
Molecule: ribosomal RNA, 1022 nt
Filed under: Colletotrichum fructicola
Lineage: Eukaryota; Fungi; Ascomycota; Sordariomycetes; Glomerellales; Glomerellaceae
Description: SSU rRNA
Rfam family: Eukaryotic small subunit ribosomal RNA
Source: RNAcentral